This 192-nucleotide non-coding RNA is filed under the name Bacillus sp. (in: firmicutes). RNAcentral's name for it is "Bacillus sp. Lysine sequence". It matches the Rfam family "Lysine riboswitch aptamer". Rfam says of the family: Riboswitches are metabolite binding domains within certain messenger RNAs that serve as precision sensors for their corresponding targets. Allosteric rearrangement of mRNA structure is mediated by ligand binding, and this results in modulation of gene expression. Lineage: Bacteria; Bacillati; Bacillota; Bacilli; Caryophanales; Bacillaceae. The record is from RNAcentral.
CGAUGAGGUAGAGGCUGCAUAGCAUAAGAGUAAAACUACUGGAGGUUGACACCUAAGAUGGUAGAAAGAAAGGAUGCUGUGCCGAAGCAAUAAGAGCGGUCGAACUCUUAUUGCUGGGGUUAUCUUGAAUAAGGAUAACACUGCCAUUAUGACCGGUACGGACGGUUUCUAUAAUGGAGGGCUACUGAUCGG